This 452-nucleotide ribosomal RNA is filed under the name uncultured Bifidobacterium sp. Its description in RNAcentral is "bacterial SSU rRNA". It matches the Rfam family "Bacterial small subunit ribosomal RNA", at positions 173 to 639 of the family's 1533-position model. Lineage: Bacteria; Bacillati; Actinomycetota; Actinomycetes; Bifidobacteriales; Bifidobacteriaceae. The record is from RNAcentral.
CUCCAGUUGGAUGCAUGUCCUUCUGGGAAAGAUUCAUCGGUAUGGGAUGGGGUCGCGUCCUAUCAGCUUGAUGGCGGGGUAACGGCCCACCAUGGCUUCGACGGGUAGCCGGCCUGAGAGGGCGACCGGCCACAUUGGGACUGAGAUACGGCCCAGACUCCUACGGGAGGCAGCAGUGGGGAAUAUUGCACAAUGGGCGCAAGCCUGAUGCAGCGACGCCGCGUGCGGGAUGACGGCCUUCGGGUUGUAAACCGCUUUUGACUGGGAGCAAGCCCUUCGGGGUGAGUGUACCUUUCGAAUAAGCACCGGCUAACUACGUGCCAGCAGCCGCGGUAAUACGUAGGGUGCAAGCGUUAUCCGGAAUUAUUGGGCGUAAAGGGCUCGUAGGCGGUUCGUCGCGUCCGGUGUGAAAGUCCAUCGCUUAACGGUGGAUCCGCGCCGGGUACGGGCGG